CAGGCAUGUAUGUGGCCCCUCACUGCCUUCUCUUCCUACCCCUCCAGGCCCUGACCAAGAAUGACAGGAGCACAGGUAAGUACCGGGGUGGCCACCCUGGGCAUGUGGGUAGCCAGGGCACCACCCAGCUUUGACCUGCUGGCCCUCUCCCAGAGGGGAAGGCCCACCGCGAGAAGCUGGAGCUGGUGGCCUCCUUCUCCUUCUUUGGCAACGUCAUGUCCAUGGCCAGCGUGCAGCUGGCAGGAGCCAAGCGUGACGCCCUACUGCUCAGCUUCAAGGAUGCUAAGGUGAGGGGUAGAGGGUGGUAGAGGGUGGUAGGCCCGGGGUGGGGGAUGGAGGGGGCAGGGCUACACAGGGGCCUGCUGGUACCCCCCAGGGUGCAUGGGGGCAGGCCAUAGUUCUGACCUUCUGCCCCCAGCUGUCGGUGGUGGAGUAUGACCCCGGCACCCACGAUCUGAAGACCCUGUCCUUGCACUACUUUGAGGAGCCUGAGCUGCGGGUAGGCCACAUCGAGGCACCCCGGCCAGCCCAGCUACUCCCUCCCUCCUUCUACCCCCAGUGCUGCCCGUGAGGGCUCCUGGCUAAUGUCCCUCUGCCCCCAGGACGGCUUUGUGCAGAACGUGCACACACCUCGAGUGCGGGUGGACCCCGAUGGGCGCUGUGCAGCCAUGCUCAUCUACGGCACCCGGCUGGUGGUGCUGCCCUUCCGCAGGGAGAGCCUGGCCGAGGAGCAUGAGGGGCUCGUGGGUGAGGGGUGAGCACUGGGGUCACGGCUGGGUCUGAGAGGCGUGGAGCUUGGUUCCCCUCUGUGUGGCCCACCCUGACGUCCCUGUGCCCCCAGGCAGAGGUCCAGCUUCCUGCCUAGCUAUAUCAUCGAUGUGCGGGCCCUGGACGAGAAGCUGCUCAACAUCAUUGACCUGCAGUUCCUGCAUGGCUAUUACGAGCCCACCCUGCUCAUCCUGUUCGAGCCCAACCAGACUUGGCCCGGGUGAGGCCCAGGGAUGCCCUCUUUGCUGUGGUCCCAGCUGCCUGGGCAGAGGGGACAGGGACGUGUAGCUCCCGCAGAGGGUGGAAGUGGGACCCCAGCCUUGGGGGGUGCUGCGAGUCCAGCUGACCCACCUACUACUCCAGGCGGGUGGCAGUGCGACAGGACACCUGUUCCAUUGUGGCCAUCUCACUGAACAUCACGCAGAAGGUCCACCCUGUCAUCUGGUCCCUCACCAGCCUGCCUUUUGACUGCACCCAGGCCCUGGCUGUGCCCAAGCCCAUAGGUGAGGAGGGCCCAGCAGUGCCCAGUGGUCCUGGGGGGGAGCAGUGAGCCUGCCUACCAGCCCGUGUCUGUCCCCAGGUGGGGUCGUGGUCUUCGCUGUCAACUCGCUGCUGUACCUGAACCAAAGUGUCCCCCCAUAUGGCGUGGCUCUCAACAGCCUCACUAUGGGCACCACUGCCUUCCCACUGCGUAAGUGUAGCUGACUAUUAGUGGGUGGGGCUGUGGGUGGGGCAGGGCCUCCAGCCAGCUUGACACCUUCCUCACAGGCACUCAGGAGGGCGUACGGAUCACCCUGGACUGCGCCCAGGCCGCCUUCAUUUCCUAUGACAAGAUGGUCAUUUCCCUCAAGGGUGGCGAGAUGUGAGCCCCUGGCCCUGUCUGCCCUGAGACCCCCACAUCCCCUCCCCUGCUCAUUCAGCACCCCCCACCCCUGCCCUCCAACAUCCUUCAUCCCCAGCCCUACUCAGCAGCCCGCCCCGCCCACAGCUAUGUGCUGACACUCGUCACAGACGGCAUGCGCAGCGUCCGUGCCUUCCACUUUGACAAGGCAGCCGCCAGUGUCCUCACCACCAGUGUGAGUAGGGGCAGGGGUGGAGGUCUUGCACUGGGUCCAGGUCUGGCCUCCUCUCAUCCACACGCCCGCCCUCAGAUGGUCACCAUGGAGCCUGGGUACCUGUUCCUGGGCUCGCGCCUGGGCAAUUCCCUCCUCCUCAAGUACACAGAGAAGCUGCAGGAGCCCCCAGCCAGUGCUGUCCGCGAGGCUGCUGACAAGGUGGGUGCUCAUGGUGGUGCCCAGGUGCUUGGCCACCUCCCCUUGGUGUAAAGCAGCCUGGAAAUGCUGUUCACCUCUGUCUCCCGCCUCACAGGAAGAGCCUCCCUCCAAGAAGAAGCGGGUGGACCCCACAGUGGGCUGGUCAGGUGAGAGCUGGACCGGUUGGGUGGGGUGGGUCUGGGAGCCAGGGCAAGGCUCAAGUGGGCUGUGUGCGCUACAGGGGGCAAGUCCGUGCCACAGGACGAGGUGGACGAGAUUGAAGUGUACGGCAGUGAGGCCCAGUCAGGCACACAGCUGGCCACCUACUCCUUUGAGGUGAGACUGGGGACAGCCGUGGAUGCCCGCCCCCUCCCACCACCUGACUGCCACUGUGUCUUCAGGUGUGUGACAGCAUGCUCAACAUCGGACCCUGCGCCAAUGCUGCUGUGGGCGAGCCCGCCUUCCUCUCCGAAGAGGUGCCUGGGGCCUGGGCUUGGGUUGGGGGCAGGAGCGGGGUUGGGGCAGCAUCUUUACCCCGACCUGUGCAGUUUCAGAACAGCCCUGAGCCAGACCUGGAGAUUGUGGUUUGCUCCGGCUAUGGGAAGAACGGGGCCCUAUCAGUGCUGCAGGUGUGUAGGGCAGGGGGGGUGGGCACCUGCGGGCAGCACCUGAGUAGGCUGACCCCAUCCCACCCUAUCUUCAUUCCAGAAGAGUAUCCGGCCCCAGGUAGUGACAACCUUUGAACUUCCUGGCUGCUAUGACAUGUGGACAGUCAUUGCCCCUGUGCGCAAGGAGGAGGUAGGUGGGACCCUAGGUGAUAGUGACUGUGGUGGCCUGAGGGCACCUGGAUCCAGUGGUCAUAGCCAUCACAGCUCUCUGUCCUCCCUGUCCUUGGCCCGUGCAGGAGGAGGCACCUAAGGCAGAGGGCCCAGAGCAGGAGCCGAGCACCCCUGAAGCAGAAGAUGAUGGCCGGAGACAUGGCUUCCUCAUUCUGAGCCGGGAAGACUCAACAAUGGUGAAGGGCGGGGUCUGGAUGUGGGCGUCUGGGGUUCCCCGGGGAAGGGCACAACUCACUACGUUACCUACAGAUCCUUCAGACUGGCCAGGAGAUCAUGGAACUGGACACCAGUGGCUUUGCCACACAGGGCCCCACGGUUUUUGCUGGAAACAUUGGGGACAAUCGCUACAUUGUCCAAGUGUCACCACUGGGCAUCCGCUUGCUAGAAGGAGGUAGGUGGGCAAGUGUAGGGAAGCGCGUCCUGGGGAGUAUGCUGCAUUGGCCACCCUGUGCUGACCACCCUGUGCCCACAGUGAAUCAGCUGCACUUCAUCCCUGUGGACCUGGGUGCCCCCAUCGUGCAGUGCGCUGUGGCCGACCCCUAUGUGGUCAUCAUGAGCGCCGAGGGCCGUGUUACCAUGUUCCUGCUCAAGAGUGAUUCGUAUGGUGGCCGCCACCACCGCCUUGCACUGCACAAGCCUCCACUGCACCAUGUAGGCCUCACCCUCUGUGUCUGCCAUCCCUGCCUAUGAUCCCCUAUCCCCACUGUCCCCGACCUACACUGGGCUUUGUCUCUCCCUGCAGCAGUCCAAGGUGAUCACACUCUGCCUGUAUCGUGAUGUCAGCGGCAUGUUCACCACCGAGAGCCGCCUGAGUGGGGCCCGUGAUGAGAUGGGGGGCCGCAGUGGUUCAGAGGCCGAAGGACUGGGCUCAGAGACCAGGUGUGCAGGGGGCCAGGGUGCAGGAGACCUGGGUCUCUGUGGCAGAUUGAGACAUGUCUGUGUCUUCAGCCCUACAGUGGAUGACGAGGAGGAGAUGCUCUAUGGGGACUCAGGCUCCCUCUUCAGCCCCAGCAAAGAGGAGGCCCGGAGGAGCAGCCAGCCCCCUGCUGACCGAGACCCUGCACCCUUUCGGGCAGAGCCCACCCACUGGUGCCUGCUGGUGCGAGAGAACGGCACCAUGGAGGUAGGUGCACACAUGUGGCUCAGCAGCCCUGGCAGCAUGGCAGGCCCUAUCGUCACUGACUGCUGUCCCCCACCAGAUCUACCAGCUUCCAGACUGGCGGCUGGUGUUCCUGGUGAAGAACUUCCCUGUGGGGCAGCGGGUCCUGGUGGACAGUUCCUUUGGACAGCCUACCACGCAGGGUGAGGCCCGCAAGGAAGAGGCCACGCGCCAGGGGGAGCUGCCCCUGGUCAAGGAGGUGCUGCUGGUUGCUCUGGGGAGUCGCCAGAGCAGGCCCUACCUGCUGGUGAGCCCUUUGGUGCCUGCCCAGAGGCUGGGACCUGCCCUCACAGCCCAGCCCAUUCCUCCACUCUGUCCUCGGGGCCCAGCCCCACCUCGUGGCCCACCCUGUCUCACUUCCAGGUGCAUGUGGACCAGGAGCUGCUUAUCUAUGAGGCUUUUCCCCAUGACUCUCAGCUUGGCCAGGGCAAUCUCAAAGUUCGCUUCAAGAAGGUGCAGCUGCUAGACCCUUUUGGGGUGGGUUGGGAGGGGUCCAGGCUACAGGGUCUGAAGGGCCUGGCGUUCAUCAACACCUUCACCAGGUCCCCCACAACAUCAAUUUCCGUGAAAAGAAGGCAAAACCCUCCAAGAAGAAGGCAGAAGGUGGCAGUGUGGAGGAGGGUUCUGGGGCCCGGGGACGUGUGGCACGUUUCCGCUACUUCGAGGACAUUUAUGGCUAUUCUGGGGUAGGCAGGCAGCUUUGUUUGGGCUUGGGGGUAGGGGAACAGGACCUUGCCCACAUGUUCUCACAGUGUCUGUCUCCAGGUGUUCAUCUGUGGCCCCUCACCCCACUGGCUCCUAGUGACUGGCCGGGGGGCUCUGCGGCUGCACCCCAUGGGCAUCGAUGGCCCCAUCGACUCCUUCGCCCCAUUCCACAAUGUCAAUUGUCCCCGAGGCUUUCUGUAUUUCAACAGACAGGUAGGAAGGUUAACUCUGGCCGCACCACAAGCACUGGUACUGCCCUGGCAAAGCUAGGCGCUAGGGACAGGAGGGCUCCUCAGCUGCAGCACAUCCCAGAGGACCAGGGAUGACUAUCUAGAGGAGGGUAGGGCCCAGGAGGUGGGAUCUGGGGCUUGAGGCUGGAGCAGUUGGCAGUGGAGGCCUGGCUGAUGGGGCAUACCCUGAAAGCCCUUGCCUCAUCUGUGACACCCACAUGGCAGCAAUGACCACCUGAGUCACUGACAGACUCUGGUGUUGAGUGCUUCCAAGGGGCUAAUGCACUCAGGACUGGACAGAAGCUGAGGCUGGGGCUGGCAGGGUCUCCCUCUGCCUGUGUUCUUCAGUCCCUGGCAUGGCCAGUCUCAGUCAUGUGGCUUUUAGUCUCUAGUGUCCUCUGGGCUUGGACUCCCAUGCCCUGUGCUGUAUUCCCCAGCCAGAAGGAUGGACAGGAGCCUACUGAUAGAAGGCAUGGGGACUGACGACCAAGGCUACAGCUCUUCCAGACCUUCCCCAGACUCGGUGACCCUAGCCAGGCAGUAGCGAGGCCUGCAGCCCUAGGCCUUGCUGACUAUUUCCACCCACCCCAGGGUGAGCUGCGGAUCAGUGUCCUGCCUGCCUACUUGUCCUACGAUGCCCCAUGGCCCGUCAGGAAGAUCCCACUGCGCUGCACGGCUCACUAUGUGGCUUACCAUGUGGAGUCCAAGGUCUGUCCCCUCCCCCAGCACUCCCUCCCCCAGGCACCCCAGGCGUGUGACACCAUUCAACUCCUAGGUGUACGCCGUGGCCACCAGCACCAAUACACCCUGCACCCGCAUCCCGCGCAUGACUGGUGAGGAAAAGGAGUUUGAGGCCAUUGAGAGAGGUAUGUGCCACCAGGGGUGGGGUGGACCAUGCCCAGGGCUGGCUACGACCACUGCCUCCUUGUCCCUGCAGAUGACAGGUACAUCCACCCCCAACAGGAGGCCUUCUCCAUCCAGCUCAUCUCCCCAGUCAGCUGGGAGGCCAUUCCCAAUGCCAGGUGAUGUUGGGCCCAGUGGGGGCUUCCGGGUGCCAGCAGGGCAGGACUAGGGUGUCCUGAUACAGCCUGUCCUUGUGCAGAAUUGAGCUGGAGGAAUGGGAACACGUCACAUGCAUGAAGACAGUGUCGCUGCGCAGUGAGGAGACUGUGUCGGGCCUCAAGGGCUAUGUGGCUGCUGGGACCUGCCUCAUGCAGGGAGAGGAGGUCACGUGCCGCGGGCGGGUAAGCAGCUGCCAGGUGGGGACAGGCGGCCCUUGGCAGCCUGUCUGCCAUCCCCACAUGUUCCCUUGCCCUGCCAGAUCCUCAUCAUGGACGUGAUUGAGGUGGUGCCCGAACCUGGCCAGCCCCUAACCAAGAACAAGUUCAAGGUCCUAUACGAAAAGGAACAGAAGGGGCCUGUGACCGCCCUGUGCCACUGCAAUGGUCACCUGGUGUCAGCCAUUGGCCAGAAGGUACACAGCUACUCCUCCCUGCUGUGUUUCUGCCUGCUCACCCUGCCCACUCCACUGACCCUUCUGCCCCCUAGAUCUUCCUGUGGAGCCUGCGGGCCAGUGAGCUGACGGGCAUGGCCUUCAUCGACACCCAGCUGUACAUCCACCAGAUGAUCAGCGUCAAGAACUUCAUCUUAGCUGCAGAUGUCAUGAAGAGCAUCUCACUGCUGCGCUACCAAGAAGAGAGCAAGACGCUGAGCCUGGUGUCCCGGGUACUUCAUGUGGUCUUGGGGUACAGGUGAGAGUCAUACUCGGGCUCCU
This 6728-nucleotide long non-coding RNA is filed under the name Marmota monax (woodchuck). The record is from RNAcentral. Lineage: Eukaryota; Metazoa; Chordata; Mammalia; Rodentia; Sciuridae.